RNAcentral lists this ribosomal RNA (292 nucleotides) under uncultured bacterium. Its description in RNAcentral is "partial 16S ribosomal RNA". The record is from RNAcentral.
GGACUACUGGGGUAUCUAAUCCUGUUUGCUCCCCACGCUUUCGCACCUCAGCGUCAGUAUCGGCCCAGGUCUCCGCCUUCGCCACUGGUGUUCCUCCCGAUAUCUACGAAUUUCACCUCUACACCGGGAAUUCCGAGACCCUCUUCCGUACUCAAGCCUUCUAGUUUCGAAUGCACUUCUGGGGUUGAGCCCCAGGCUUUCACAUCCGACUUACAAGACCGCCUACGUGCGCUUUACGCCCAAUGAUUCCGAGCAACGUUUGCACCCUCCGUAUUACCGCGGCUGCUGGCAC